GUGCCCACUUUAGCAGCACAUAUACUAAAAUUGGAACACUACAGAGAAGAUGAGCAUGGCAUCUGCAAAGAUGAUGUGCAAAUUCAUGAAGUGUUCCAAAUUUCC
Molecule: small nuclear RNA, 105 nt
Filed under: Vulpes vulpes (red fox)
Lineage: Eukaryota; Metazoa; Chordata; Mammalia; Carnivora; Canidae
Source: RNAcentral